GAAAGUAAAGAAGGGCGCAUGGCGGAUGCCUUGGCUCUCGGAGGCGAUGAAGGACGUGAUAAGCUGCGAUAAGCUUUGGGGAGGUGCAAAUGACCUUUGAUCCAGAGAUUUCCGAAUGGGACAACCCAAUAUCUUGAAGAGGUAUUAUCCAACGUUGUUGGAGGCUAACGCAGGGAACUGAAACAUCUUAGUACCUGCAGGAAAAGAAAAUAAACAAUGAUUCCCCCAGUAGUGGCGAGCGAACGGGGAACAGCCCAAACCAUCCAUGUUACGGCAUGGGUGGGGUUGUAGGACUACGCCGUUGCAUGAAGACAUCAGAGAAGAACUUUCUGGAAAGAAAGACCAUAGAGCAUGACAGUUGCGUAUUCGAAUGUUGUCGAAGCAUAGUAGUAUCCUGAGUAGCGCGGAGCACGAGGAAUUCUGCGUGAAUCUGCCGGGACCAUCCGGUAAGGCUAAAUACUCCCGAGAGACCGAUAGUGAACCAGUACCGUGAGGGAAAGGUGAAAAGCACUUCGAACAGAAGAGUGAAAUAGUUCCUGAAACCGUGCGCCUACAAGCGGUCGGAGCUCGUUAAUGAGUGACGGCGUGCCUUUUGCAUAAUGAACCUACGAGUUGCCUUUGCCGGCAAGGUUAAGUGUGACGACACACGUAUCCGAAGCGAAAGCGAGUCUGAACAGGGCGUAUAGUCGGCAGUGGCAGACGCGAAACCAAGUGAUCUACCCUUGGCCAGGUUGAAGGCUGGGUAACACCAGCUGGAGGACCGCACCAAUAAGCGUUGAAAAGCUUCUGGAUGAGCUGAGGGUAGGGGUGAAAGGCUAAUCAAACUUGGAGAUAGCUCGUACUCCCCGAAAUGCAUUUAGGUGCAGCCUUGCGGGUUACUGAUGUGAGGUAGAGCGACUGAUAAGAUGCGAGGGCUUCACCGCCUAUCAAGUCUUGACAAACUCCGAAUGCGCAUCAGUUCUACCGCAGGAGUGAGGGCAUGGGUGCUAAGGUCCGUGCCCGAGAGGAGAAGAAUCCGGACCACCUGCUAAGGUCCCGAAAUGACAGCUAAGUUAAACUAACGAAGUCUGACUGCUAAGACAGCUAGGAUGUUGGCUUGGAAGCAGCCAUUCAUUUAAAGAGUGCGUAACAGCUCACUAGUCGAGGAGUCGGGCGUGGAUAAUAAUCGGGUAUCAAGUUGUCUACCGAAGCAGUGGGAUCAUUUAUAUGAUCGGUAGGGGAGCAUUCCAGUCGGCGUCGAAGGCGUACCGCGAGGUAUUCUGGAGCGUCUGGAAAAGCAAAUGUAGGUAUAAGUAACGAUAAAGGGGGCGGGAAACCCCCUCGCCGAAAGACUAAGGUUUCCUGAUCAACGCUAAUCGGAUCAGGGUCAGUCGGGUCCUAAGGCUCAGCCGAACGGCGAUGCCGAUGGCAGAAACGGUUAAUAUUCCGUUACUACCUUCAGGAGUGACGUGGAGACGCAGUAGUGACAGUGCCGCCAUCUGACGGAAUAGAUGGUUGAAGGGUGUAGGAGUCGAUCAUGGCAGGCAAAUCCACCAUGAGAUCCGAACCUGACAGUAUGCCGCGUCCUUCGGGACAAGGCAAUAGUGCGCGUAAGCAUGCUGCCGAGAAAAUCCGCUAAACUUAAUCCUGCAGGUACCCGUACCGCAAACGGACACACGUAGUCGGGAUGAAUAUUCUAAGGCGCUUGAGUGAUUCACGGUUAAGGAACUAGGCAAACUGACCCUGUAACUUCGGGAUAAAGGGUCCCUACCCUUUUAUGGGAGGGCGCAGAGAAUCGGUCCAGGCAACUGUUUAACAAAAACACAGGGCUGUGCCAAAUCGAAAGAUCCAGUAUACAGCCUGACACCUGCCCGGUGCUGGAAGGUUAAGAGGAGAUGUCAUCGAUGAGAGAAGCGUUGAAUUGAAGCCCCAGUAAACGGCGGCCGUAACUAUAACGGUCCUAAGGUAGCGAAAUUCCUUGUCG
RNAcentral lists this ribosomal RNA (1963 nucleotides) under human gut metagenome. RNAcentral describes it as "bacterial LSU rRNA". It matches the Rfam family "Bacterial large subunit ribosomal RNA", at positions 1 to 1974 of the family's 2925-position model. The record is from RNAcentral.